RNAcentral lists this ribosomal RNA (1462 nucleotides) under Salmonella enterica. RNAcentral describes it as "partial 23S ribosomal RNA". It matches the Rfam family "Bacterial large subunit ribosomal RNA", at positions 417 to 1773 of the family's 2925-position model. The record is from RNAcentral. Lineage: Bacteria; Pseudomonadati; Pseudomonadota; Gammaproteobacteria; Enterobacterales; Enterobacteriaceae.
GCGGGACACGUGGUAUCCUGUCUGAAUAUGGGGGGACCAUCCUCCAAGGCUAAAUACUCCUGACUGACCGAUAGUGAACCAGUACCGUGAGGGAAAGGCGAAAAGAACCCCGGCGAGGGGAGUGAAAAAGAACCUGAAACCGUGUACGUACAAGCAGUGGGAGCCCCACCACCAAAGCAUUCUCUGGUGUUGAAGGCCCUGCAAAGCAGCAUCGCGGUGGCGGAGCGUCGUUUGCGACGCCCGACACACAAAACAAGCGGUGAGUGCUUUGGGGUGGGGUGACUGCGUACCUUUUGUAUAAUGGGUCAGCGACUUAUAUUCUGUAGCAAGGUUAACCGUAUAGGGGAGCCGGAGGGAAACCGAGUCUUAAUUGGGCGUUAAGUUGCAGGGUAUAGACCCGAAACCCGGUGAUCUAGCCAUGGGCAGGUUGAAGGUUGGGUAACACUAACUGGAGGACCGAACCGACUAAUGUUGAAAAAUUAGCGGAUGACCUGUGGCUGGGGGUGAAAGGCCAAUCAAACCGGGAGAUAGCUGGUUCUCCCCGAAAGCUAUUUAGGUAGCGCCUCGUGAAUUCAUCUCCGGGGGUAGAGCACUGUUUCGGCUAGGGGGUCAUCCCGACUUACCAACCCGAUGCAAACUGCGAAUACCGGAGAAUGUUAUCACGGGAGACACACGGCGGGUGCUAACGUCCGUCGUGAAGAGGGAAACAACCCAGACCGCCAGCUAAGGUCCCAAAGUCAUGGUUAAGUGGGAAACGAUGUGGGAAGGCCCAGACAGCCAGGAUGUUGGCUUAGAAGCAGCCAUCAUUUAAAGAAAGCGUAAUAGCUCACUGGUCGAGUCGGCCUGCGCGGAAGAUGUAACGGGGCUAAACCAUGCACCGAAGCUGCGGCAGCGACACUGUGUGUUGUUGGGUAGGGGAGCGUUCUGUAAGCCUGUGAAGGUGGCCUGUGAGGGUUGCUGGAGGUAUCAGAAGUGCGAAUGCUGACAUAAGUAACGAUAAAGCGGGUGAAAAGCCCGCUCGCCGGAAGACCAAGGGUUCCUGUCCAACGUUAAUCGGGGCAGGGUGAGUCGACCCCUAAGGCGAGGCCGAAAGGCGUAGUCGAUGGGAAACGGGUUAAUAUUCCCGUACUUGGUGUUACUGCGAAGGGGGGACGGAGAAGGCUAUGUUGGCCGGGCGACGGUUGUCCCGGUUUAAGCGUGUAGGUGUGUGUUCCAGGUAAAUCCGGUUCACUUUAACACUGAGGCGUGACGACGAGGCACUACGGUGCUGAAGCAACAAAUGCCCUGCUUCCAGGAAAAGCCUCUAAGCAUCAGGUAACAUCAAAUCGUACCCCAAACCGACACAGGUGGUCAGGUAGAGAAUACCAAGGCGCUUGAGAGAACUCGGGUGAAGGAACUAGGCAAAAUGGUGCCGUAACUUCGGGAGAAGGCACGCUGACACGUAGGUGAAGUGAUUUACUCA